Molecule: ribosomal RNA, 253 nt
Filed under: uncultured bacterium
Lineage: Bacteria
Description: partial 16S ribosomal RNA
Rfam family: Bacterial small subunit ribosomal RNA
Source: RNAcentral
UACGUAGGGACCAAGCGUUGUUCGGAUUUACUGGGCGUAAAGGGCGCGUAGGCGGCGCGGUAAGUCACUUGUGAAAUCUCUGAGCUUAACUCAGAACAGCCAAGUGAUACUGCAGUGCUAGAGUGUGGAAGGGGCAAUCGGAAUUCUUGGUGUAGCGGUGAAAUGCGUAGAUAUCAAGAGGAACACCUGAGGUGAAGACGGGUUGCUGGGCCAACACUGACGCUGAUGCGCGAAAGCCAGGGGAGCAAACGGG